UACAGAGGGUGCAAGCGUUGUUCGGAAUUAUUGGGCGUAAAGCGCGUGUAGGCGGCUUUGCAAGUCGGGUGUGAAAGCCCUUGGCUUAACUGAGGAAGUGCAUCCGAAACUGGCAGGCUAGAGUACUAAAGAGGGUCGCGGAAUUCCCGGUGUAGAGGUGAAAUUCGUAGAUAUCGGGAGGAACACCGGUGGCGAAGGCGGCGACCUGGGUAGAUACUGACGCUGAGGUGCGAAAGCGUGGGGAGCAAACAGG
RNAcentral lists this ribosomal RNA (253 nucleotides) under uncultured bacterium. RNAcentral describes it as "partial 16S ribosomal RNA". It matches the Rfam family "Bacterial small subunit ribosomal RNA", at positions 524 to 776 of the family's 1533-position model. The record is from RNAcentral.